RNAcentral lists this ribosomal RNA (465 nucleotides) under uncultured bacterium. Its description in RNAcentral is "partial 16S ribosomal RNA". It matches the Rfam family "Bacterial small subunit ribosomal RNA", at positions 28 to 507 of the family's 1533-position model. The record is from RNAcentral.
GACGAACGCUGGCGGCGUGCUUAACACAUGCAAGUCGAACGGAAAGGCCCCUUUGGGGGUCCUCGAGUGGCGAACGGGUGAGUAACACGUGAGUAACCUGCCCUUGACUUCGGGAUAACUUCAGGAGACUGGGGCUAAUACCGGAUAGGAAUCCUUGCUGCAUGGUGGGGGUUGGAAAGCUUCGGCGGUUUUGGAUGGACUCGCGGCUUAUCAGCUUGUUGGUGGGGUAGUGGCUUACCAAGGCUUUGACGGGUAGCCGGCCUGAGAGGGCGACCGGCCACAUUGGGACUGAGAUACGGCCCAGACGCCUACGGGAGGCAGCAGUGGGGAAUAUUGCACAAUGGGCGGAAGCCGGAUGCAGCAACGCCGCGUGCGGGAUGACGGCCUUCGGGUUGUAAACCGCUUUCAGCAGGGGCGAAGCUUGUGGUGACGGUACCUGCAGAAGAAGCACCGGCUAACUACGUG